RNAcentral lists this ribosomal RNA (248 nucleotides) under uncultured bacterium. Its description in RNAcentral is "partial 16S ribosomal RNA". It matches the Rfam family "Bacterial small subunit ribosomal RNA", at positions 1066 to 1320 of the family's 1533-position model. The record is from RNAcentral.
CGUGAGAUGUUGGGUUAAGUCCCGCAACGAGCGCAACCCUUGUAUUUAGUUGCUACGCAAGAGCACUCUAGAUAGACUGCGUGGACAACACGGAGGAAGGUGGGGAUGACGUCAAAUCAUCAUGCCCCUUAUGACCUGGGCUACACACGUACUACAAUGGCAAUGGAACAGAGGGAAGCGACUCAGCGAUGAGAAGCAGAUCCCGAAAAAUUGUCUCAGUUCGGAUUGCAGGCUGCAACCCGCCUGCA